Molecule: long non-coding RNA, 1751 nt
Organism: Gasterosteus aculeatus aculeatus (three-spined stickleback)
Lineage: Eukaryota; Metazoa; Chordata; Actinopteri; Perciformes; Gasterosteidae
Source: Ensembl
AAUAAUUCAAUAUGCAAAAAUUGGAGUGUUGAAAUUUCAGGGUUAAAAAUUUCCGAGUUGAUUUUCACUCCCAGAGUGUAAUUUUAACACAUUCUGAUUUAAAUGGUGUUCAGUGUUAUUUGGUUAUUUGGCAGAGUUGAUCAUGUCAGUGUUAACCCAACUCCGCAGAGAUGUAAUUAAGCUCCGCCCAUGCCUUUCACCUCUUCGGUUAGAGACAGAGAAGACAAGUCUGCACCAUUUUCUACCUCUCAUGCAGUACUACACGUCAAAAUGCUGGUCCAGGUGAAGUACAGCCAACAGCAGAAGUAUGUAAAGUUGGAUGAGGAUGAAGGACUGUUUGACUUUCUGCAAUUCCAUGAAAAAGUCAUGGAGAGAUUUGGCCUGCCACCUGAUGCAAAUGUUAUAUACAAAGGAUGCAACAGGGACAGAAGUUGAUGCAGAAAUAUUCAGCGACCUCGUUGGACAAGGCAAUGUGGUCCUGACAGUUUUCUCAGAUCAGGGUGAGAUAUCAAGGCAGACGUCUGACUCAAGCUUCAGCUCAAGUGCAUCAACUAUAAUCCUAGAUGUUCCUAACAAGAGACAAAGAAUUGAGGAUACACGUGAUGCUGUGUCUGCUAAACAGUUGAUAGAAGCUGUGCUAAGAGGCAAGUCUGGAGGUGAAGAAGUACUACAGAAGUACCAAACAACAGAAACCCUAACAGAUGCUGCAAGAAGACAAAUGGUUAAUUUCCUGGUGGCUCACAUGAUUGACAAUCAUGGGCACUGCCCCACUAAAACAAUCAGAGAAGAUUAUGCACGUGGGAUAGUGAUGCUGUUCCCUUCCCUUAAGGAUCCAUACUCCAAGAAGGGCUAUGAACACUUCUAUGAUGCUGCAAGCAGCACAGGAUACAUUUCUUGGCGUCUGAAAACAGUCCAGAGGAAGAUUCGUCAAGGAUCUGCACAGCCACUCUUUCAUCUCCUUCCACCACCUCCAGGGGGACUGAAGUCUCCAAAAAUUAGUGCAUGUGAUGCAGUUGAAAGACUUGUUGUAUUUCAUAAGUCAUGCUGCAGUUUGGAGGAGCAUCUCCGCAACCAGCAGGGUCGGCAGCCGUACCUCCUCGCUGUUGGGCGUCAGAAGAGCAAGAUUGACAGCCUCUACAUCACCAUGGAUAAGCGUCUCAUCCCAUGCAAGGCAAACCGCUUCCUCGGGGCAUGUGAUGAACUUUUCAAAGCACAUUUUGUGUUUAAUUUGUCUUACGAUGUGGCACUUGUGAAUUUUUAUACAUUCCUGCAGACAACAGUGUAUAACAUUGAUGUGGGGAAAAUGAAGGAGUCACCCAGAGUUAAAGACUUGAGAGCAAGACUGCUUAACCAGCCAGUAGCAUUCUCACCCUGUGAGUAAGAAGCUAUAACAAUGCUGACCUGUUUCAUGUGUUGAAAAACAAGCUAUUUACAGAGAAUUUUCAUGACCAUCAUCAUGCAUUCAGAGUAUUACAAAAUGCGGAAAGAUGUUUACUAAAAAUGUCUGCGCUUAAAUUUCAUAAACCGUUUCAUAUUCAAAGCUCAUACAAUGUUUUGGAUGGAAGUUUGUACAUUAUACCUUCAUUCACAAUGUUUUAAUUCAACUGACUGCAAGGGAGAAAAGGAAUAAAUGUUUUUGAAAAUGUUUUUGUUUAUUGUGAUGAAUUCUUAUUAAUUAUUAAGUAUAUAUUUAAUUAAUACAUUUAAAAUGAAUUAACAUUUUUUCAGUGUAGAUAAUUGACACAUUAGGG